GAAAAAACUCACUUCAUUUUGACUCAUUUCUGUAAAGACAAUAUGUUGAAGCUGAGCAGGGCUGAGCCUGGUCAGUAACCAGAUGGGGGACCACAUGGGAAAACUAGGUAGCUGUUGGCA
This 120-nucleotide ribosomal RNA is filed under the name Danio rerio (zebrafish). Lineage: Eukaryota; Metazoa; Chordata; Actinopteri; Cypriniformes; Danionidae. The record is from RNAcentral.